Molecule: transfer RNA, 71 nt
Filed under: Sciurus ignitus (Bolivian squirrel)
Lineage: Eukaryota; Metazoa; Chordata; Mammalia; Rodentia; Sciuridae
Description: Hadrosciurus ignitus (Bolivian squirrel) tRNA-Val
Rfam family: tRNA
About the family: Transfer RNA (tRNA) molecules are approximately 80 nucleotides in length. Their secondary structure includes four short double-helical elements and three loops (D, anti-codon, and T loops).
Source: RNAcentral
CAAGAUAUAGCUUAAUAAAACAAAGCAUCCGGCUUACACCCAGAAGAUUUCCCUACUAGUGAAUAUCUUGA